RNAcentral lists this ribosomal RNA (253 nucleotides) under uncultured bacterium. Its description in RNAcentral is "partial 16S ribosomal RNA". It matches the Rfam family "Bacterial small subunit ribosomal RNA", at positions 524 to 776 of the family's 1533-position model. The record is from RNAcentral.
UACGGAGGGUGCGAGCGUUGUCCGGAAUCAUUGGGCGUAAAGGGCGCGUAGGUGGCCUGGUCAGUUCGUGGUGAAAGCGCGGGGCUCAACCCCGCGUCGGCCAUGAAUACUGCUAGGCUUGAGCACUGUAGAGGCAGGCGGAAUUCCGGGUGUAGCGGUGGAAUGCGUAGAGAUCCGGAAGAACACCGGUGGCGAAGGCGGAUCUCUGGGCCUUGCCUGACGCUGAGGCGCGAAAGCUAGGGGAGCGAACAGG